Molecule: ribosomal RNA, 344 nt
Filed under: uncultured fungus
Lineage: Eukaryota; Fungi
Description: SSU rRNA
Rfam family: Eukaryotic small subunit ribosomal RNA
Source: RNAcentral
GGUUCAUUCAAAUUUCUUCCCUAUCAACUUUCGAUUGUUGGGUAUUGGCCAACAAUGGUGACAACGGGUAACGGAGGGUUAGGGCUCGACCCCGGAGAAGGAGCCUGAGAAACGGCUACUACAUCCAAGGAAGGCAGCAGGCGCGCAAAUUACCCAAUCCCGACCGGGGAGGUAGUGACGAACAAUACUGAUACAGGGCCCUUUUGGGUCUUGUAAUUGGAAUGAGUACAAUUUAAAUCCCUUAACGAGGAACAAUUGGAGGGCAAGUCUGGUGCCAGCAGCCGCGGUAAUUCCAGCUCCAAUAGCGUAUAUUAAAGUUGUUGUGGUUAAAAAGCUCGUAGUUG